CCUACGGGUGGCAGCAGUGGGGAAUAUUGGACAAUGGGGGCAACCCUGAUCCAGCCAUGCCGCGUGUGUGAAGAAGGCCCUCGGGUUGUAAAGCACUUUCAGUGAGGAAGAACGCCUGGUGGUUAAUACCCAUCAGGAAAGACAUCACUCACAGAAGAAGCACCGGCUAACUCCGUGCCAGCAGCCGCGGUAAUACGGAGGGUGCGAGCGUUAAUCGGAAUUACUGGGCGUAAAGCGCGCGUAGGUGGCUUGAUAAGCCGGUUGUGAAAGCCCCGGGCUCAACCUGGGAACGGCAUCCGGAACUGUCAAGCUAGAGUGCAGGAGAGGAAGGUAGAAUUCCCGGUGUAGCGGUGAAAUGCGUAGAGAUCGGGAGGAAUACCAGUGGCGAAGGCGGCCUUCUGGACUGACACUGACACUGAGGUGCGAAAGCGUGGGUAGCAAACAGGAUUAGAUACCCGAGUAGUC
This 465-nucleotide ribosomal RNA is filed under the name Vreelandella stevensii. Its description in RNAcentral is "partial 16S ribosomal RNA". It matches the Rfam family "Bacterial small subunit ribosomal RNA", at positions 338 to 795 of the family's 1533-position model. Lineage: Bacteria; Pseudomonadati; Pseudomonadota; Gammaproteobacteria; Oceanospirillales; Halomonadaceae. The record is from RNAcentral.